Molecule: ribosomal RNA, 264 nt
Filed under: uncultured bacterium
Lineage: Bacteria
Description: partial 16S ribosomal RNA
Rfam family: Bacterial small subunit ribosomal RNA
Source: RNAcentral
GAUCAUGGCUCAGGAUGAACGCUGGCGGCGCGCCUAACACAUGCAAGUCGAACGGACGAUGAAAAGCUUGCUUUUCAAAGUUAGUGGCGGACGGGUGAGUAACGCGUGGGUAACCUGCCUUAUACAGGGGGAGUAACAACCAGAAAUAGGUUGCUAAUACCGCAUAAGCGCACAGGACCGCAUGUCCGGUGUGAAAACUACCGUCGGUAGUAAGAUGGACCCGCCGUUGGUAUUAGUCUAGUUGGUCGAGGGUAACGGGACCCG